RNAcentral lists this unclassified non-coding RNA (318 nucleotides) under uncultured Tomentella. RNAcentral describes it as "sequence contains 5.8S rRNA gene". The record is from RNAcentral. Lineage: Eukaryota; Fungi; Basidiomycota; Agaricomycetes; Thelephorales; Thelephoraceae.
GAACGCACCUUGCGCCCUUUGGCUAUUCCGAAGGGCAUGCCUGUUUGAGUAUCAUGAACACCUCAACUCUCAUGGUUCGCCAUGAUGAGCUUGGACUUUGGGGGUCUUGCUGGCUUAUGGGUCAGCUCCUCUCAAAAGUAUCAGCUUGCCAGUGUUUGGUGGGAUCGCAGGUGUGAUAACUAUCUACACUUGUGGCUUUCCAUCAAGUAACCUUCAGUAAUGGGGGUUCACUGGGGCUCAUAAACGUCUCUCCUCGGUGAGGACAGCUCUUUUAAAUGUUUGAUCUCAAAUCAGGUAGGACUACCCGCUGAACUUAAG